CCUACGGGGGGCAGCAGUGGGGGAUAUUGGACAAUGGGGGGAACCCUGAUCCAGCGACGCCGCGUGAGUGAAGAAGUAUUUCGGUAUGUAAAGCUCUGUCAGCAGGGAAGAAAGAAAUGACGGUACCUGACCAAGAAGCCCCGGCUAACUACGUGCCAGCAGCCGCGGUAAUACGUAGGGGGCAAGCGUUAUCCGGAAUUACUGGGUGUAAAGGGAGCGUAGACGGUUAAGUAAGUCUGGAGUGAAAGGCCGGGGCCCAACCCCGGGACUGCUCUGGAAACUAUUGAACUUGAGUGCAGGAGAGGCAGGCGGAAUUCCUGGUGUAGCGGUGAAAUGCGUAGAUAUCAGGAGGAACACCGGCGGCGAAGGCGGCCUGCUGGACUGAAACUGACGUUGAGGCUCGAAAGCGUGGGGAGCAAACAGGAUUAGAUACCCGAGUAGUC
RNAcentral lists this ribosomal RNA (443 nucleotides) under uncultured bacterium. Its description in RNAcentral is "partial 16S ribosomal RNA". It matches the Rfam family "Bacterial small subunit ribosomal RNA", at positions 338 to 795 of the family's 1533-position model. The record is from RNAcentral.